This 252-nucleotide ribosomal RNA is filed under the name uncultured bacterium. RNAcentral describes it as "partial 16S ribosomal RNA". It matches the Rfam family "Bacterial small subunit ribosomal RNA", at positions 524 to 776 of the family's 1533-position model. The record is from RNAcentral.
UACGGAGGAUGCGAGCGUUAUCCGGAUUUAUUGGGUUUAAAGGGUGCGUAGGCGGAGUGUCAAGUCAGCGGUAAAAUUUCGGGGCUCAACCCCGUCGUGCCGUUGAAACUGACGCCCUUGAGUGAGUGAGAAGUAAGCGGAAUGCGUGGUGUAGCGGUGAAAGGCAUAGAUAUCACGCAGAACGCCGAUUGCGAAGGCAGCUUACCGGCGCUCAACUGACGCUGAGGCACGAAAGUGCGGGUAUCGAACAGG